RNAcentral lists this long non-coding RNA (316 nucleotides) under Struthio camelus australis. Its description in RNAcentral is "lncRNA (ENSSCUG00000011073.1)". Lineage: Eukaryota; Metazoa; Chordata; Aves; Struthioniformes; Struthionidae. The record is from RNAcentral.
CUGUUAUUAGGCAAGAAAUCUGGGCAAUCAGCACAUUCAGAGCUGGACGUCAGAGCAGCAGCUGGGGGAACCUGCAAUACCAGACUUGGAGACAGCAUUUCAGUUACCUCUCCACUGUCAGCCUUGAAAGUGGUGCCAUCGCUCUCUUCCAGCACGAUAUUCCAAUACUGGAAGCUUUGGGAGCUGAUUAAGGAGAGCCCAGGCAUCUCUCUUAAAUGGAGAUAGGAGAAGGGAUGAGAAGUUUUGCAAACCCUUGGAUAAAGAAUAUGUAAAUGUCAUUGUCUUUAAUAGAGACAUCAUUUAUCCGACUUUAAAU